RNAcentral lists this unclassified non-coding RNA (405 nucleotides) under soil metagenome. RNAcentral's name for it is "partial contains 5.8S ribosomal RNA, internal transcribed spacer 2, and large subunit ribosomal RNA". The stretch from base 1 to 121 matches the Rfam family "5.8S ribosomal RNA", at positions 35 to 154 of the family's 154-position model. The record is from RNAcentral.
GAUGAAGAACGCAGCGAAAUGCGAUAAGUAAUGUGAAUUGCAGAAUUCGGUGAAUCAUCGAAUCUUUGAACGCACCUUGCGCCCUUUGGCCAUUCCGAAGGGCAUGCCUGUUUGAGUAUCAUGAACACCUCAACUCUUUAUGGUUUUCCAUGAUGAGCUUGGACUCUGGGGGUUUUGCUGGCUCACAGUCGGCUCCUCUAAAAUGAAUCAGCUUACCAGUGUUUGGUGGGUAUCAUGGGUGUGAUAACUAUCUACGCUUGUGGUUUUUCCACCAGGUAACCUUCAGCAGUGGAGGUUCGCUGGAGCUCAUAGAUGUCUCUCCUCAGUGAGGACAGCCCUUUGAAUGUUUGAUCUCAAAUCAGGUAGGACUACCCGCUGAACUUAAGCAUAUCAAUAAGCGGAGGA